Molecule: ribosomal RNA, 429 nt
Filed under: Pseudomonadota bacterium
Lineage: Bacteria; Pseudomonadati; Pseudomonadota
Description: Proteobacteria bacterium partial 16S ribosomal RNA
Rfam family: Bacterial small subunit ribosomal RNA
Source: RNAcentral
UGGGGAAUAUUGGACAAUGGGCGAAAGCCUGAUCCAGCCAUGCCGCGUGUGUGAAGAAGGUCUUCGGAUUGUAAAGCACUUUAAGUUGGGAGGAAGGGCAGUAAGCGAAUACCUUGCUGUUUUGACGUUACCGACAGAAUAAGCACCGGCUAACUCUGUGCCAGCAGCCGCGGUAAUACAGAGGGUGCAAGCGUUAAUCGGAAUUACUGGGCGUAAAGCGCGCGUAGGUGGUUCGUUAAGUUGAAUGUGAAAGCCCCGGGCUCAACCUGGGAACUGCAUCCAAAACUGGCGAGCUAGAGUAGGGCAGAGGGUGGUGGAAUUUCCUGUGUAGCGGUGAAAUGCGUAGAUAUAGGAAGGAACACCAGUGGCGAAGGCGACCACCUGGGCUCAUACAGACACUGAGGUGCGAAAGCGUGGGGAGCAAACAGG